RNAcentral lists this ribosomal RNA (236 nucleotides) under uncultured bacterium. Its description in RNAcentral is "partial 16S ribosomal RNA". It matches the Rfam family "Bacterial small subunit ribosomal RNA", at positions 15 to 244 of the family's 1533-position model. The record is from RNAcentral.
GAUCAUGGCUCAGGACGAACGCUGGCGGCGUGCCUAAUACAUGCAAGUAGAACGCUGAAGAGAGGAGCUUGCUCUUCUUGGAUGAGUUGCGAACGGGUGAGUAACGCGUAGGUAACCUGCCUUGUAGCGGGGGAUAACUAUUGGAAACGACUGCUAAUACCGCAUAAGCCCACGGGUCGGCAUCGACCUGAGGGAAAAGGAGUAAUCCGCUUUGAGAUGGCCUCGCGUCCGAUUAG